RNAcentral lists this ribosomal RNA (497 nucleotides) under uncultured bacterium. Its description in RNAcentral is "partial 16S ribosomal RNA". It matches the Rfam family "Bacterial small subunit ribosomal RNA", at positions 28 to 507 of the family's 1533-position model. The record is from RNAcentral.
GAUGAACGCUGGCGGCGUGCCUAAUACAUGCAAGUCGAGCGAACGGACGAGAAGCUUGCUUCUCUGAUGUUAGCGGCGGACGGGUGAGUAACACGUGGAUAACCUACCUAUAAGACUGGGAUAACUUCGGGAAACCGGAGCUAAUACCGGAUGAUAUUUUGAACCGCAUGGUUCAAAAGUGAAAGACGGUCUUGCUGUCACUUAUAGAUGGAUCCGCGCUGCAUUAGCUAGUUGGUAAGGUAACGGCCUACCAAGGCAACGAUGCAUAGCCGACCUGAGAGGGUGAUCCGCCACACUGGAACUGAGACACGGUCCAGACUCCUACGGGAGGCAGCAGUAGGGAAUCUUCCGCAAUGGGCGAAAGCCUGACGGAGCAACGCCGCGUGAGUGAUGAAGGUCUUCGGAUCGUAAAACUCUGUUAUUAGGGAAGAACAUAUGUGUAAGUAACUGUGCACAUCUUGACGUUACCUAAUCAGAAAGCCACGGCUAACUACGUG